This is a long non-coding RNA of Centruroides sculpturatus (bark scorpion), 489 nucleotides long. RefSeq lists it as uncharacterized. Lineage: Eukaryota; Metazoa; Arthropoda; Arachnida; Scorpiones; Buthidae. The record is from RefSeq and is a predicted model, not a curated record. The transcript is spliced from 3 exons.
AAAAAUGGCUAAAGUUGUGGUAAUUGGCAUCAUUUACCUCUUCCUCGAUGUUUCGUUUGUCGAAAUUGAAAGCAUGUUGAAAUGCUCGAAAGUCCGGUCUACAAAAAGUUACAUCAGAUUAUGACUUGAUAGCAGAGGAGCCUUGGUAUAAAAGAAUGUACAGUACCUCCGACUUCCAAGCAGAAAAAAAUACUGUCCGAUAUCUUUGUCCCGAAGAGCAGAAGAGCGCUUUAGAGCUGGCAGGAUAGAAGCGAAGAAAAAAUGGAGGAGAAAAGUGAACCAACAACUGAACGUAACAGAGGAAGUGAUGAUAAAAGGCUUUCGUCUGCCUCAGCUGGUAUUGUGGGAAGAAAUUGAAUUGGAUCUGGAAAAAUGCGAAUACUCACUCCCUCAGUUAUUUGAUCGAUGGAUGCCAUCUGAGACGUAUGUGUCCGAAUGGAAAAAUAAAAGUCGUAAUGCGCUUAAAGGAUAUUUACCCCUUUACUUUCG